CCUGGUGCUCAGCCCGAGGGAUGGGAGGCUGCUCUUCAGACGGAUGCUGAUGACGUCACAAUUUGGGCUGUCGCAAGAAAUUCCGAGUCUGUUGAUGUCUCUCACCCGUGGCAACAUCCUCGUCAUUGCAAUCAAGAACGACGGGGCCCUCAACCUGACCCCGACGGCGCGCUCCCUCCUUCAGUCGUUUGGCGUGAA
This is a non-coding RNA of Penaeus vannamei (Pacific white shrimp), 198 nucleotides long. The record is from RefSeq and is a predicted model, not a curated record. NCBI's taxonomy places the organism in Eukaryota, Metazoa, Arthropoda, Malacostraca, Decapoda, Penaeidae.